Long non-coding RNA from Oryza sativa Japonica Group (Japanese rice), 3351 nucleotides. RefSeq lists it as uncharacterized. NCBI's taxonomy places the organism in Eukaryota, Viridiplantae, Streptophyta, Magnoliopsida, Poales, Poaceae. The record is from RefSeq and is a predicted model, not a curated record.
AUGAUAGGUUGUUGGAUUGAAAUAAAACUAUCAAAAAUAAAAUUUUCGGUUUUGGAAAAGUAGGUAGAGCGAGUACUUUCCAUGUACAGUAAUCGAUUUGCGGGCUUUCGUGGGCCCAGGCGACCAGAUCGGCCGGCGGCGAGGGGGACCGCAUCGCCGUGCUUCUCCGUCGCCGCCGCACCACUUCGCCGAAGCUGGAGGCGUUGGCCCCCGCGCGGUGGCGCCGGGGGAGGGCGACGGCGGCGGAACGCCGGCGAGAAGCGCGCCGCUGAGCCGUCGAUCGAGGCGCCCCCGCGCAGCAGUAAGUACUACGCCCUGUGCGUUGCGGGAGGCGGGAGAACAUGGCUGCGGCCGUGGAAGGCACCGGGCGUCGACGUCUGCUGCGCCAACCCCGGCGGCCGCAUCCUUCUCCGGCGGGCCGGCGCACCGCGCGCCGCAGGCAGCCGGUUGGUGGGGAAAAGGUAUACCGUAUACCUGCUGCAUGAAAUCUCCUUUCCUCUAAGAGCCGAAAAAUUCACUAAAUUACACUACAGUUCUGAAAUCUGUAGCAGCAUUUGUACGGUAAUGACAUCGAUGGCACUGACAAACAACAUUUCAGAUUUUCAUCAGCUUAUAUCAGAUUGCAUAGUCUCUGAGGCGCACCAAUGCUGACAUUACAAUCUACAAAUCACUUUCUGAUUUUUGAUUUGCACGUUUGGCUGUCGUAUGGUGACGGCAUCAGGAGAAAGAGCACAAUACCUACACUACACUUCACUUAUACAACACUAAGUCACUAAUCCUAGUACUUAUACUGUGAAGUUCGUUUGACCGUCCCAACAAAUAUUGGAAAGACAUCCACUCUUAAAUAUAUAUUUUUGUCCAGCAGAACAUUCUUCCUAGAAUAAAUUAUCUGAGACUAGCCACUUGGCAGUGGGGGAUCCUGAAUUGGGUGUCAUGAACAAGCCUUGCAUGAUUUACCAUUUGGUCACAGGGACCCCUUUUAUGUUCUGAUCAUGCACAUUAUUAUAUUUGAAUUUUAGGUGAAUAUUCCAUGCAUCUUUUACGUAUGGUCUCUCCACUUCCGUUGAAUACCGCAACACUUUCUGACCUUAUUCUCAAAUAAAACUUCAUUCAGCCCUGUUUAAGCUUUAAUUGGACCAAUUGAAAUGAAGAAUUUCCAAUUUCCGACAGAGAUCUGUCGAGUGCACAAAGAUUGUGUAUCCUUAUCGUGUCCACAAUCAAGAACUAAUAAUUGUAAUUGGUGAAGGGUUAGUAGGCCAGCUCCUAAUUUUCUUAUCAGAGUCAACAUUAGCAUCCACAGGCACUUUUGUUCAUGCCAUGUGUUCUUCCCUCACAAUCUCCUUAUGAUUGAUUUGUCCACGGGAGAAUUGCCAUCACUUCGGUUCUUGCUUCAUUUCUUCUCUGGGUAAUGGAAUAAGGUGUGAGUGAAACACCUCACAUGAUGCCUUUCUUCUCCCUCCACUUGAGAAAGCAAAUUGUUCCUGUAAUUUGAAAUCGGCCGGCUUGCUGAGUUGCUGACUGUGCUGGUAAUUACCGGCAACAUGCUUUGCUCCUAGCAUUAUUGAUUAUCUUGUUUUAUUUUUUUUUUCCACAUCACAUAAAUGAAACAGUGUUGGGAGUUAAAUUUACUAGCACAGGAGCCAACUAAUCUUGUACCAGGCACAUUCAUCAGAAUUAUAUAUAUGCAGGCUUAGGCUACACAAAAGCUUGUACUAAACAGUACUACUAGUUAGACUUGUCAUCAUAGUGAAGUUAACAAAGUUAUCACUUAUCAGUGCAUCGUACUUGGCAUUAGCGGCCGACAGAGAAUCCGCCAGCCACACUCCCCACCUCUAGGGGAGGGGAGUGACAGUCAAGUAUCCCUUCAUUCUCCCUCUACAAUGCAGCUCAUGCAUAGCCUUUUGAUGGAAAAGCAGAAAUUCCAGAGAGGCAGCAAGAGCAUACCAUUUUGAUUAGCUCACCACUGGCUCUCCUGGUUGCCCUAAAGUAAGAAGUAGUGUAGUACACUUUUGUAGUUUUGUUGCUAAUCUAUUCGGCUAAUUCCUACUAUAUUGAUUUUGGAAUCUUGUGUUCUUUGGAUUUACUUACCUUUGUAUUCCUGCAAGGGUCAAGUGCUCAGGGGCGGAUCUACAGUAUAAGCGUCAGUGUCAAGCGACACCGAUGACUUUCGGCAAAACCUAUAACAAAACUGCUUAUCCAUAUACUAUAACACUAUGUUCUAAGUAUAAUUAGCAUACUAUGACACCGACAGACACGUUAUGACACCAACAAACUGAUUUUCUGGAUCCGCCACUGCAAGUGCUGACAGAGUUAUUGCAGACUCGCAGUCCGUCUUCAGGUACAUCUGAAUUGUUUACCCAUUACAAACAUGCAUCAGAGCUUUCGAUAUUUAUUGCAUCAUGUACUGAAAAUUUUCUAUACAUUAGCGUAUGGUACAUUCUAUGACAAGUUUAAGUUGCUGAUACAACAAUAGAAGCAUUGCAACUUUUCAUGGAAUCUCAUGACUAGUGACAAUAAGAAAUAUCUUAGGACUGUAGGGAGACGAGAUAGCCGUAUGCUAGUUGCAAGAGGCAUCGGUUUCAUUCAUGCAACAUUGGGCCGACUGUAAAAAGCUUACUCAUUGCUCUUCUCAUCAUUGAGUCACAAUGCUUGGAUUCCCUCUUGACCGAUCUUUUGAUAUCAUGGCAACCUCUGGUGCUGCACCUUUGCCAGUUGCAAACAGUUUGGAGGGUAGUUCUUGGUCGUCCAUUACUUCACUGAAGAUUCCGAAAUCCAACAAAAUUCAGGCCGUUCUUCAGAAAGAAGCAAGCACUGCAGAGCUGAACUCUGCUUCAUUGGAUGGUCAAAAAGGAAGGCUGCUGAAGAUUGGCUGCAUUUGGGCUCUUAGGAAUCGAUAUGUGCCUGCAGAAAGAUCGGUCAAGAUUAUUCCUCACGGUUAAUGCUGCACUGGCUGUUCAUUUGGUUAAAUUUUGCUUGAUAGCAGUAGGAUGUUUAGAGCUGCCAGCUUCAGGCUUCCGUAGUGCCGUGUUCAAGAAAUCAGUGUGUUGAUUCUAUGACUGAAAUAGUUUGCAAGACAUGGAUAGUAUAUAGAGAAAAUGUCGCUGCUUUUGCCAAUCGCAUCAUCAAGGCAGCAAAGCUAUUCCACUAUCUUGAUUCUAUGACAGUUGAAAGAGAUAUAAGCAUCUACGUAACUUAAACCGUGUUAUUCCAGACAGUGUAAGCACCAAGAUCUCCGAUGGCCAAACCGGCCGUGUGACCGUAUUCGUACCAAAUAAAAACAGAAUUACUUUUUCCUCGAAGAAUUCGUAUUGGUAGAUUAAGAUAGUAAUAAAUAUACAAUUUCAGGAUCUA